AAUACUCUUGUAAAUUUGUCUGUGAGAUGUUAUACUUAUGAUGUGUUUUUGUUAGGUAUAGAAAUUGUGUAAGGUAUUACUCCUUUCGAACCAUUAGCAAGAAUAUGAAUAACAAGUGCUAUGGCACAAGGAGGAAAUGUUCAUGGAACAAGGUACAGUAAAAUGGUUUAACUCAGAAAAAGGUUUUGGGUUUAUCGAACGUGAAGGUGGAAACGAUGUAUUCGUACACUUCUCAGCAAUCCAAUCAGAAGGAUUCAAAACAUUAGAAGAAGGACAAGCAGUUCAAUUCGAUGUUGAAGAAGGCGCUCGUGGACCACAAGCAGCUAACGUAGUUAAACUAUAAUUUAACUUAAAC
Molecule: small RNA, 355 nt
Filed under: uncultured Granulicatella sp.
Lineage: Bacteria; Bacillati; Bacillota; Bacilli; Lactobacillales; Carnobacteriaceae
Description: cspA thermoregulator
Source: RNAcentral